GAAAGGGGGUCCAAGUUGCAGAAAAUUUGCAGAUGCAGAAGAAAAAGGCAUGGAUCCGGAUCGAUCAGCCUCUGAGAGAAUCCAGUUUCCCUCUGUUGAUGCAUCGAUUGAACUCUCAGGACAAAAUAAUGGCCUNCUCCAACCACAUUACCACUCAAUUAAAAUCAUAACUUAGUGCUAUUGGUGGGUUCUCAAUACUAAUUACAUUUUCGCUUUUGCAACGGUUCCUUAAGAAUCAACUAUUCCACUUGUGCGCAUGCAUCACAAUAUCUUCACAAAUUAAAACAAAAAACAAAAAAAACUCAUAACUUGGAAAAGAAAAAGAACACAAAUUAUGUCAAUUUCAGUUCAUCUUACAUGCCCCACCAAAGUUCCAAGUCCACGUCANAAUCCACUGUUUCACUUUAUGCAACGAUAUCAUCUACUUUUCUAGCGUGAAUAGUACCUUCUUUUCCCUCUUAAUUUACAGCUACUUUCGUAAAGAUUAACAAGCCAANGUAGCUAAAUUAGUCAAAUGUUUUUUAUUUUGGAAAAAGAAAAUCCCACUGGAUAUGGUGGUUUAGCUUCAAAAUGGGUAAAGUCUUUGUGAUCAGAAAAGUUUCCAAGACAUGGAAAACCCUUUUAAGUUACCGUUUGAUUAAUUAUUUGGCCCCUUUACGAUUGCUUCUUACUUUGGGUUUAAACUUUAAAGUUUAAACUUCCUUUUUGUGCUCACAAUCAUUCCAUGUAUCUGUAUUUAAGGUUCUUAUUACAAGACAACUCUUUUUUUUUUUAUAUUCAGAGAUGUGGCUAACUAUUGCGAACUACCUUCUAUUA
Molecule: long non-coding RNA, 816 nt
Filed under: Vigna radiata
Lineage: Eukaryota; Viridiplantae; Streptophyta; Magnoliopsida; Fabales; Fabaceae
Description: long non-coding RNA (VRAD_LNC015542)
Source: RNAcentral